CUUGUGUAUUUCUCCCCCGCCCCCUCCCUCCCUCGCUGUAGAACACGUCGUCAAGUCACAGAGUUCUCCCCCUCCCGCCGUUUCCCUCACGAAGAGCGCCCACAAACAACAUAAAGACGCAGCGCACUUCGCUGUUUUGGGAGGAACGGCCUGACAUUGGUGGAUCAUCGACGUCUGUGACGCCCACAUCCGUUUUCGCCGAGCUCCCGCGUCGCUGCCUCUCUCUCCCUCGCUUCUUCCUCCUCCUCUGGUGUGGUGUCGCUUCAGGAACGGGCAGCACGGACACGCACUCGCACGGCGCUAGCAUAGCAUCUCCUCUGCGCCCGCCUGUAUUCCUUCCCUGAAGAAUGCCGCUCGACAACAAAGAGCCGCACCGCCGCGGAGCCGCGGAUGCUGCGCAGCAGCCGUCAGGGUCUGUCAAACCCAAGACGCCAUCAAACACAGUGCUGGCGUUCGCGUUGCGGGAGGAGGAGAACCACAUCGACGAUGCUGCGCUCGUCGCCGCUAUGGAUGACGAAAACGCCGACCCGCUGCUGCACCCGGCCCAGACCCGCGCGCUCUCCCACAUCGAGCAGCGCGAGGAAAACCGCUUGCGCGGCGAUCCGUGGCGCUUCGCGGUGGCGCCCAUCUUCUGCCUGCUCUCCAUCUCCAACGCCAUGCAGUGGAUCGCCUUCUCGCCCAUUGUGGAUGAGGUGCGCACGUACUUCCACAUGAACGCGACACAAGUGAACUUCCUGGCCACCACCUACGUGAUCGCCUACGUCGUCAUCGUCUUCCUCAGCUGCAAGCUGUACGAGGUGACCGGCAUCAAGAUUGGCGUCUUGAUUGCCGCCGCGGCGAACGCGCUCGGUGCGCUGCUGAAGAUUAUCGCCCUCUACGCGUGGCCCAACGCGGCCCUGCUGUACCUCGCGCAGGUCUCCAACAGCUUCACGGAGGUGCUCACAAUCGCGACGCCUCCGCUCAUAUCGAACCGCUGGUUCCCGGAGAAGGAGCGCAUGGUGGCGAACACCGUCAUGUCCUCGGCGCUCAAUUUCGGGUGCGGUAUCGGCGUCCUCAUCCCGACCUUCUUCGUGGGCCCGGAUAAGCAGUCGAAGAAGCACUUCGGCAACUUCUUCUGGUUUCACUUCGCCUACGCGGCGCUGGUGCUCGCUCUCGUCGUCUUCCUCUUUCCACGGAAGCCGCGCUACGCCGCCAGCCACGUCGCGGCGCGGCAGCAGAACCGCGAGGAGCGCCGCCUGCGCGCGCUCGAUCACGUGUUGCACCGCCGGCACAGCGACGAGGAUGAAGAGUCUGACAACCGGCCGCAUCCGCAUGUCGGGCAGAAGAAGGGCGUCGCCAAGGGCAAGAAUGAGCCUCUCGUAGCCGGCGUGACGGAUGCCUGCAAGGAGGGCAGCUGCGACGUGGCGGCGGCGGCGGCGGGCAACCAGUGCGCCAGCAGCAACGGUACCGCUGUGGAGCACGUCAUCGACGAGAUUCAGGACGCGGAGUCGGAGAGCGAGAGGGAAGAGCCGGAGGUGCAGCCGGUGAACGUCUUCUCCGUGCUGAUGGACUGCUUCCGCGAGUUCCGCAGUAACUGGUCCUUCAUUCUCCUUGCCAUCAGCUCUGCCGCGGAGCUGGGUCUCAUCUGGGGUGUGGCGACGGUGCUGCCGCAGAUGCUGGCCCCGUACGGCAUCAGCGAGGCCAUGGCCGGCUGGAUCGGCUUCCUCAACCUCGUGCUCGGCACCGUCGUCUGCCCCUUCUUUAUGCCACUCGUGGACCGCUAUGGCCGCCGCUACAAGCUGCUUCUGUGCGCCCUGUCCGUGAUGGUGGUGAUUGUCAUGGUGCUGCUCACGCUGCUGCUGCACUUCGGCCCCGCCGUGCACGAGAAUAGCAAGCACUACGUCACGGCCGUCUUUGUGCUCUGGGGCGGGGUCGCGGGUAUCUGCCAGAACUUCAUGAUGCCGCUCAUGUUCGAGUACGUUGUGGAGCUGACCUUCCCCAUGGCGGAGAGCACGUCCGCACCGGUUCUGACGUGGACCGCUUGCCUGACGAACUUUCUGCUCACGCUCAUCUUCGGUGAAGUGCUGACCGACACGCCCACGGAAAAUAAGGCGCUGCGCACCUUCAUCGGCGCCACCGUCGUCUCCUUUAUUGGCUGCGUGACCCUCUUCCUCACGAAGCCGUUGACGAAGCGCACGGACUACGAGAAGCGCCAGGCCGAGGCCCUCGAGCAGCGCAAGAUGCGCCUGCAGUCGGCGGCAGCGGUAGCGGCGGGCAUGAACGGCGCUUGUCUCCAUUACGACGUCGACGGCGCCCCAGUCGGCGUGUCAGCGGCGCAGCCCCCGGUGGCGCACCAAAACUCCGCCCACAGCCACCACGACGGUGAGGCCACAAAGGUCAAGAGGGCCUGAGCAGCAAGAGCUGCAGAGGGGACAUCCGCGCAUGGCACUCACCGCCCACGCGCGCGCGCUUGUCUCCGACUCGCCCUCUCACCUCUCGCUUCGCCAAACACGCACGGCUCCUGCCAUCUUCGCCGUCACGCUGCACGUCUUGGGAGGGGUAACCAACUCGAGAGAUGCAGCUCUCAGGGGGAGUGGCACUCUGAAGUUCCAAGCACGCACGCACGCACGCACGCACGCACGCACGCACGCACGCACACACACGCACACAUAUAUAUAUACAUAAAAAGAGAUGAUGAGUGUGUGUUGGACAGGGUGAGAGAGGAGGGAGGAGGGCGGUGAGGGGGUGGGAGGGAAGGAGGGGAGGGGAGGGGCACUGCACACCCAUGCGGAGGUGGUGCAUCCGCGUCUACGAGCAGACGAUUCUUUGGCCCUCUGUCACUGGCGCUUUUCAGUUUUCAACCAUCAUCACCGAACUGCCACUGCCCAACCGCGCCGUUGCCCUUCUGUUUCCUUCAUGGGAAUCAGUCGGAGCAGAGAGCAGACGGGCGGGCGACAACGGGCGAUGUGUAUGCAAGCGCAUGGGCGAGAGGCUAUCCCCAGCGUGCAUCACUCACCCCACCCCCACACACACGCAGGUACCCCGUCCGCUUACUCGCCCCUUCACGGUCUUCGACUCGGCUUGACUCUCGCUCUCCGCUUGUUCUGGUCUCUUCAUUUUGAAUCCCCCUCCUGCCCGCCUCCACUCCCCUUCCUUUCCUAUCUCCAGUGUGUUAUUUGUUGCUCGCGUGGGGUGGUGUGUGCAUGUGUAUGUAUGCAUGGCAUGGCCGCCUUGUUAGACACCGUCGAAGUUGCGCCAUCGGUGGAGUUUGUGUGUGUGUGUGUGGGGGGGGGGGGGGGGGGAGGGGGGCGGUGAGUGGGUGUGGGCGUGCAGAUGCAUGUUCAACCGUCGGCCAUCUGGCACCGCCGCCGUCCUCCUCCCUUCCACCUCACGUCCUCUGGACGGCGCCUUUUCACCCUUCUCGUCUCGUCCAGUUGGAUUACAUAAUAUAUAUAUAUAUAUAUCACUAUUAUUAUAUAUAUAUAUGUGUGUGUAUACAUGUUUGUGUGUCUGUAUAUGUUCUGUGUAACGCCUCCUUCGCUUCGUUUUUUUUUCUGUGGACGUACUCGGAGACGCACGCGCGCGCAGGCCGCCUCUCUCCCUCGCUCGCUCGCUCACUCGCUCCUUCGAUUUCUUUUUGUGCGGCCGCUCUGCAGAACAGCGAAAUGGGGGCGUGUCUCUGCGUGUCUGCCUCAUCACUCGGCGCACGAUGGCGCACGGACGGCGUGCCUCUGUGUCCAGCGCUUACCGUGCGUGUGUGUCGUUGGAGCGUCUUUGGGGUACCGAGCUCGUAUCCCUUUCUUCCGUCCGCGUUCUUGUCUUCUCUGUCUCUUAUUUUUUUUUUUCACAUGUGCCGUUCUUCGGUUUCGUUGUUUGCGAGGACCCCUACCGCCAUCGCCUCCCGCGGCACUCCGCGCUGGUAGCGGCUUCGCGAUGUCGGCAGGUUCUGCUCGAUGCUGAUGUGGUCUUUUUCGCAGUUUUGCUUUGUUUCUUUUGGGGAGGGAGGCACGACAGGGUGGCGGCAUGAGACGCGCCCCCCUCCCCCCUUUCUCUCUCUCCCUCCCUCCCCAUCACCCCGUCGCCGCAGGCCCUUUACUGCCCGUCUUUAGCUCUCGUUUCUGUACACGUGUGUGUGUGUGUGUGUGUGCUCUCUCUAUAUACAUGUAUAUAGAUGGAGUUCUUUAGUGCUUGUGUGUGUGCGUGUGUGUGGGGGAGGGAGGAGGGGGGACGGUGUGUCGGUGGGUGGGUGUCUCUCUCUCUCUGCCCAUGUUUCUCUCUGUGCGUCCACGCCAUGGCCCGCUGGGUCGUGUAUAGAACCUAAAUCCCCUCCUCUGUCUAUUAACGACCUCUUUCCUGUGCGCGUCGGCGGAUGCAACACUUCGACUCUCUGACACAGAGUCGAAAACCCUCUUUCUGCUUGCGCAGCUCCUGAGCUUGCGGAACCGCCGCUGGUGCCCUCGUGGAUGUGUAUGUGUGUGUGUGUGUGUGUGUGUGUGUGUGUUUGUGUGUGGAUGUGUACACGUUUUCAGGAGGGAGAGGAGGGUGCCGCGGCGCAUCUGUUUGUGGCCAUGUGUUUCGCUCAGCCUGCGUCUUGAGCAAGUAGAUGCUGAAGAUGAUGGAAGGUGGUAGAGCGCGUGCGCGCAGACAAGUGUGCUUGCAUGUGUACACAAAGAGCCCCAUAAUGAAGGAGAACAAUUAACAACGCGAGGGCAUCUCUUCAGAAAAGUAAUGCUGAGGGCAUACAGGC
Molecule: unclassified non-coding RNA, 4726 nt
Filed under: Leishmania donovani
Lineage: Eukaryota; Euglenozoa; Kinetoplastea; Trypanosomatida; Trypanosomatidae
Description: gene:LdHU3.03.0400(CDS-product:MFS_transporter_pu tative)
Source: RNAcentral